GCCGAUGUGGUGAAAUUGGCAGACACGAUCGACUCAAAAUCGAUUGGGCUUAAAACCCUUGUGGGUUCGACUCCCACCAUCGGCA
RNAcentral lists this transfer RNA (85 nucleotides) under Anaerolineae bacterium. RNAcentral's name for it is "tRNA-Leu". It matches the Rfam family "tRNA". From Rfam's summary of the family: Transfer RNA (tRNA) molecules are approximately 80 nucleotides in length. The record is from RNAcentral. Lineage: Bacteria; Bacillati; Chloroflexota; Anaerolineae.